This is a long non-coding RNA of Hippocampus zosterae (dwarf seahorse), 1489 nucleotides long. RefSeq lists it as uncharacterized. The transcript has 4 exons. NCBI's taxonomy places the organism in Eukaryota, Metazoa, Chordata, Actinopteri, Syngnathiformes, Syngnathidae. The record is from RefSeq and is a predicted model, not a curated record.
GUCACAAGCUGAUCAUCUACAGGCCACUGAUGCAGCAUUUCUUGCUAAAUAAACAUCAACCAAGUAUUGACUAAAGGAAUGAAAAUACCGUAUUUUCCGUACUAUAAGGUGCUCCGGAGUUUAAGGUGCACCUUCAAUGAAUGGCCUAUUUUUUUCGUAUAUACAGCGCACCACAUUUUAAGGCACAGAGAAUCGAAGCUACAAUAGUCCCUACGGUUGCCUUAUCCAUCCACUAGAUGGAGCUAUGCUAAGAGUAAUACAAUACAAUACAGGUUAUAUAGAGCGUUCACAACCGCUGCAGCUGUAACAAAGCGCUUUUCAGAACACUUAAAAUACUAUAUCCAAGAAAUUAGAAUAUUGAUCCAUAUAAAAGGUGUAUCGGAUUAUAAGGCGCACUGUCUGCUUUUCAGAACAUUGUAUGCUCUUAGGUGCUCCUUAAAGUGCGGAAAAUACGGUAUUUAUCAGAAGGCGAUCACCUCUAUGUGAAAAAUUGCUUUGAUGGGUUGUUAACGAAUAUUUCUUUUGAGAUUGUGAAUUUGGGAGUUCAUUGGGCGGGAAGAUGUGAUCAUCACUAUCAUGAGAAAUAACACCAGAUUAUUUCACUCUGAAUUGCAAAUAAUGUGCAGUAUGUCAUAUGUGCAUUUCUUUUUUGGAACGCUGUCAUUUCUUGGUUACCUGCAGCUCCUUGAACCUCUUUUGAGACUGCACCGCUAUACUCUGCUCAUCUUCAAUUUUGGAUGCGAGUUGGCUUAAUUCAAAAUCUUUCCUGAAAAUGUCAAAAACAAACACACCAAAUCAGUGCCAUCAUAAUGCGAUUGCUGAGCUGUUUAAAUACUUUCAUGUCGGGGCUUACUUUUUCAGGUGCUCCUCUACUAUUUGUUUGUCGUUUUCCAAAUCCAUGAUGGCUUCUUGGGCUAGCUUAAGAUCUCCUUCAAUUUUCCUCUUUCCCCUUUCGACCUCCAUGCGGUUCUUUUUCUCUUGUUCUAGAGACCCUUCCAGCUAACCCAUUGACAGAAAUUGGAUUAAUAUUACAGGCGUUGUAAUCUGACUCGAUUUCGAUUCAAAUAAUUCAAAACCAACAUCGUCAACUUGUUGCUCCAGCUUCAUCUUAGCUUUGCUCAGAGAGUUGACUUUGUCUUCCUCCGCUUGCAGGUCUUCCAGUGUCUGCUGGUGGGCCUGCUGCAAGGCUGACUUCUCCUUGGAUAACUUGGCAAUGGUAUCGUCCAGGGAAGACAUCUCUUCUGUCAAAUUUUUAACCUGAAUUAAAACAAACACUUUGAAUAAACAUUCCUUUUUGGCUCCACACUCAGAGCAUUCGUCCUCCAGCUUCCUCUUCUUAGCGGAGCGGCUUGAUCUUGAAGUAAAGCUUCAUCCAUGGCCAGUGUUUGACAUUCAUGAAGGAGCGAAUGUUGUACUGGAUAGUGUAAACUGAUUCUCUACACAUGUAUGGAAAUCAUGCGAUGAGUCAACGGAGUUGUCAGGAUUUUGG